Long non-coding RNA from Pan troglodytes (chimpanzee), 7120 nucleotides. RefSeq lists it as uncharacterized. The transcript has 5 exons. The record is from RefSeq and is a predicted model, not a curated record. NCBI's taxonomy places the organism in Eukaryota, Metazoa, Chordata, Mammalia, Primates, Hominidae.
UAGAUUUAUCAAUACCACAAUAUGAGACAUUCCUCAAUGUCUUCUCAAACUUGUCUCAUUCUCAACUUCUGAUUGGAUAUUGUCAUUUCUAGGUGACUGAAAGUGAAAAAAAGACAGGAACUGAGGAAAGGGCAAAAGAACGAGCCUAAUGAUGCAGCCAUCAGUGAAAAACUUCAAGCCAGGUCCCAGAACAUCUGAAACUGGAAUGCCCCACCUGCUCCCAGUAGAAAAGGCCGCGUAACAAAGAAUCUGGGGCCUAGGGCAGGACCAGUAGGAUGGAGUGCAAUGGUGCAAUCUUGGCUCACCACAACCUCCGCUUCCCGAGUUCAAGAGAUUCUCCUGUCUCAGCCUCCUGAGUAGCUGGGAUUACAGUUCUGUUUUUGCCUUGGGAUUUUGAAGAUCCAUUUUCAGGUGUGUGGGACUUUGGGUGACUCCAGCGUCCACUGGGCCUGUGGGAAAAGCAGAUGGAGGAUGAGCACUGGAGACAGCCUGGAGGUCCUCCCCAAGGUAAAGUGGAGGACACAGGGCGGGGGAAAGCUGAGAAUGGAGCAGCUGUCCUGUGCCCAGGACUCACCUUCUCCUAGGAGACAAAGCAGCACCCAGCAGAGGAGCCCGGGGCCCAUGGCACAGAGGGGCAGGCAGCACUGCACCUGAUUCAGGGCUUGGUCCUCCUGGGGAAGAGCCGAGCUGCUCCCCCAGACUGCCCAGAGCCCUUUACAUCGCAGUGGAACACACAGCCAUCCUGUGGCCAAUAAGUGAAGCUUCAUCAUUGUUUAAUUCUGUAAUGGCCCAAGGAAUGCUGGGAAGUGUCUGCAGAGUGAGCUGCCAGAAUAUUCCAAAAGUGCCAUCCCACAGGUUUUAUGAGCAGCUUCCCUAAACCCUAAGUCCUACAUUAGUUCUAACCCUAACUAUUGCUUUGAGUUACCAAUCUUGAUAUCCCACCCUCAUUCUGAAUAACUCUUAUCACAUAGCUUCAGUUAUAGCCAAACUCUUUCUCCCUUAAAACUACCAUCUAAAGAAAGAGGAACAGAAUGAGAGGAAUGAAAGGAAAUAAUAUUUGGUUUUAAAUAGUAAGAAGACACAGACGUUGAAGUAUAAAGAGAUUAUUUAAUCUGAAUCACUAAAGAUAAACAAAAACAUCCUCCAAAAAUGACAAUGUUACCCCAAAAGUAUAGAUCAGCAAAAGAUGAAGUCAAAUGUCUAUUAAUAAAAAGUAAAAUUGAAAUAUAUAAAACGAGACCUGUUACAAGACAAUAAGCAAUGGUGGAGGGAGCAGUACCUAAUGCAGAAAAUAAGGAUGGAUAUAACUAAGAGUAGCAAAGGGGCUGCUAUAGGAAAUGAUCAGCUUGUACAAUGCAUAUCCACUGAUCUGAGCAGCAAACAGGGAAGAGAUGAUUCUGGAAGAGGCAGAGGAGCAGCGGGAGAUGAGGACACGCUGAUGCAAAAUAGUAUCAUAAGGAAGCAAAUCAGCCAGAGGACUGUGGAUUAGAUGACUUUGCUUUCUCCUGUCUCCUGUGACAGCUGAACUGGACCAUUUUCCUCUCCAAGGAUUUGUUCCUGCACCUGGAGUUAGAUGCCCCUGGUAUUUGCUUCUCCUCAGGUUCCCAUGGAUGAACUCCCACUCCUUCCUUGUUGACCAUGGUCUGAAGGAGAGGUCAUCUCUCCCUCCCCUUUAAUCUCACAGUACUGGGGAUUGGCACAGACUUCUCAAUUGGCAUCGACCUCUCUCAUGGCAUGCUCACAUGCCCCCUAACUGUGCCUUUUCAUUUCCACUAGACUGAAAGUUAGAUGUGGGCAAUGGAACUUAACACCUUUAUCAUAAGAUACACAAGUAACUGCUUUCAAAAUUAUUGCUGUUUCUUUCACUGCCUUGGGUUACAGCUGAACAGGAAAAAAAGGCACAAUUUCUUAAUGUGACUUAACCACAAAAACCUUCCCAAGUGCCAAAAACAAUAUAACUACCAAGGGAUUGCUCUCCUCAUUGGCGAGAUGGCAAAAUAAACCAAAAAAAAAAACAAAGAAAAUAUUGUCAAAUACUUUAAUGGAGACACAGAAAGCCAGUCCCUCUUAUACAAACAUCACUGUUUGGCCUCCCUCUACCUGAGAGACAGACAGAGCCAUUCCUGUGCCCUACACCUGUCAGGAAAGCCCUGCUGGAGCCUGUGGGGAGCUGGUGAGGAUGAGCCUUGGUGAUUCUGCCCCAGAGCAGGGAUUCUCAGGGAACUCUGGACAACUUCCAGGGACUGAGAUGGAGAGUGGCCACACUCCGUCUAGGAGAGGAGAAUACUGAGGAUGUGACCCUUCUGACCUCUCAGCCUAAAGUAAAAGCAGAGUCAUUCCUGACUGGUGUGGAGCUGCUUAGUUUCUAAAGCAAAAUAGUCCUUGUUUCAGGGUCUGUCAGUGACAUAGAAGAAUAACGGGGCUCUAUGUGGUUCACAACCCAGAGUUGCUGCUUGGCCAUCUCUGUUCCCAAUGACUCCAGCAUCUGAAUAUUCCAUGCGAGGAAAGAUAAUUUGUAAAUAAUGAACUGGUUCAGUGAUACCUUUAGGUACAUUCAAAAUAGUUGUCAUGUUCCAGACUGGCAUUCUUGAAGGAAACACAGAGCUACAGAGCAAGAGAAUUUGGGAGUUGAAUGGAAAUAGGAACAAUUGACGGCCCCUUAGGUGAUGGGUUCUAAGAACAAGAGUAGUGGGGAAAUAAAUUCUGAGCUAUAUUGGCCCCACAAGAAAUGGCAUAACAGGGACAUCAGAAAAUACCCCAGUAAUGUGCUGCUAAACUGUGUGUCUGUGAAGGUGGGGGCAUGGCUGGUAGCAUUUCCUAAUUUCUGUUGUACCAACAUACCCACCAUGGCAGAUUUCAAGCUCCCAGCAUGGCUUCACUGAACAGGGAGCUGGGAAAAGUAUGCCUAUUUACUUCUUUUGAGUCAUACAAGCCAUAGACUAAAGAGAAAAGCUUCAAACUUCUUCAAUGCUUCCUACUCAACAUACUAAAAUGAGGCCACAGCAACUAUAGCACACCUCAUUGUUUUCAUGAUAGGAUCAGUGUGUGAUCCUGGGUCUUGGAAUGGACAAAGGGAUGUUUGUGCAGAGAAAGGAUUUCUGAGUCCUCUGAAGCUGUCAAGAUCACAGAGCAAAGAGUUAUGCUGGUUGGUUGGGGAGCUGCUAGCCUUUGACUUAGAGUAAUUGCAAUGAAAUGUUUCUCCUGCUUUACUUAAGACAACAGAAUGAUUUCAAUAAAGCAGAAACCCUAUGCCUUCCUGAAGGCCAAGGCUAAGACACCCACUCCUUGCUUGGAGCAGUGAGCUGGCUCCGAGCCCUCCUACAGUGCAGUGGGACGUGAUUGUUUUCACCACCUACAUUUGCAGUCACUGUGUUUCAGGAAUGAAUCUGUGGUCUCUUUCCACCCAAAGGACAACCGAGGUCCAAAUCUACCUCUUUCCCAGGAAAAGUGAGGAGCAAAGAGAGGCCUCUGUUAAGGAUCUCUGGGAGCUGCAAAGAGAGAGAAGUAUGAGGUUUGUGAACAGGAAGGAGGCGACUGUGCCACGCUGUGGCUAAGCUGCUGGCACAGAGAUACAUGGCCGAGUCCCGCUGCUCUGUGCGCUGAAUCGUCUGAGUGGAGUUGGAUCCCUCAGGCCUCUCUGCAGAGAACCGAUCAUUGGGCAGCCCUGAUUUGUCUGGUUGAGCUUCAUAAUUGAAGUAAGUCAGAAACUCUGGGCCCUGCCCCAGGGCCUGUUGAUACCAAUAAAGGGUUGCAUGACUCGAAAUUGGAUCACACCUGAGAGUUACAUCCUGUCCCCUCUUUGUGACUUUGUACCUGGGCGACUGGGAGACUCCAGCACCUGUGUGAUCUGUGGAAAUAGAAUCUGGCAACAGAAUAAGGAAAACAUUUGUAGUCAUCUCACACACACACACACAGACACACAGACACACAUGCAUACACACACACGCCUACAUACAGAAAAAAUAUGAAACUACUUUGUGUUCUGAGGACUCACCUGUCCCUAGGAAACCCAAGACCACCCAGCAGAAGAGCCUGGUACCCAUGACAGUGUCAGACCAGGAUGGGGGCUUUACCAGAUCAGUGUCACUGUGAGCAGGAGCAGAGGAUGAGGGAUGUCCUUGUCUCCACAGGGCAGUUCCCACAGUGACAUCACUUCCUCUCUCAAUCCUCAGGACCUCAGGGUCAUAUCAUUUAUAUUAGAACACACUUGGGUGACACUUUAAAUAUUUAUAACCUCCGUUUUAACAACAUCAAUUCAUGGCUCAUUUUUUGUGCUCCAGAGCUGUCUGUGCCUGGAGACCUCACACUGCAUCUCUGAGUUCAUCUUCUCAUCCUACAGCCGCUCCCCUGCCUGCUGGGCAUGUCCUGUAGGAUGCAACAACAGCGCCCCUAACAUAGGGCACAAAGGGUUGAGCUCAUUGUCUUUCCCGCAAGUCAGGGUCCCCUGUGCCAUCCCAAUCAUGCCCCAGCUUCCUCCAUUCCCCCAGUCACACGUGCCCAAUGAGACUGUCCCAUCACAUGGGUUCCCUCAAGAACUGCCCUCAUGCCUUUCUUCUGGGAUCAUUUCCCACCCUUGUUAACUGUAAUUCAGAAAAGAUACCCAUAGAAAACCAUCUCAGGCAUAGAGUGACUUAUUAAUGCUCAUCUAUUCCAUGCCCUAGACUGGGUAACUGGGAACUUCCAUGUGAAAAACACUAGGACCUAAAGUUCUAGCAUCAAAGAUUUGUUUUACCGUUGUCUAAUUUAAGACGCUGAUGGAAGAAAAGUACUCAGUUUACUGUUUAGGUCCAACUUAUAAAAAUAAAAUGAAUAUUCUUUACCCUGAAAUCAUACAUUCUCCUUUGAGUAAAUCAAAAGGUCACAUAAAUCAUGAAUUAAACCUACCAGGCUAGACUGGGCCAAGAGAAGACAGAGCUUUUUCCUGGAAAGGCUAUGUUUCCAGGGUUAGUCAAUGUGGUGCAGGAAGGAGGCUGGUAUGUGAAGUAUUUUUCCUCGUUAGAAGAUGCUGGGAUGUGUGAUAUCCUGGGUACUCAGCUGAUCUGGGGGGAAGGGUGGCCAAGUGUAUAAUACAAGGGAUGAAAUGUCAUCAGUAGGAUUGUCCUGGGAAAUUGCCUUUCAACAAUCUGAGACAUGUUUUGGGCUCUUUGGCCCUCUCUGCUCCAUCCUGUUUGGGGGCCAGGUCUCUACAUGGAGAGAAGGCAACUCUAGCACACAGUAUUCUUGCCAUCUUCACAGCAUUGCAGGGCAAUUUCUGCAGAUCUGAGGAUUUCACUUUAGGUUUGCCAUCAAAUCAUUGAGCUGAUCAGCUACAAAUUCAUGAAGCACAUUUCUCAUACUGCACAGUCAAAAGAGAGACCAGAGCACUUGCUUUGGUUAUAAAAUAACUGGAUGGAGGAAGGCAGCAAGAUGUGAGCUUCCCUCCUACUGUCUCCACAGGUCACUGCACUCUGACCAGGGGUCUGAUGUCCAUCCAACUCCAUCAGGGUGGAAGCUCAGGAAGGAGACAGAAGCAGGAGGCAGAGCCCUGCCUCUGGGUGGAGCGAGAUUUCAGGCACAGGAUUAAAAGAAAAGUUAGUAGCUGUCUGGAACAUCUACAUACAAAUUGUGUACACAUUCACUUGGGCAGCACAGGUGUCCCCCGGAGAGGAGUCCACGGACCGUGGCAGGUUGAGUCAGUUGUGUGAUCUGAUGCCUUAAUCUGGGAGAAUCCAUACUGUGCUGGAUUGUGUUAAGUCAACUUUGCAAAUGUAAGAGUCUGACUUUCCCAGAAUGCCAUUUAUCAUUCUGGGUUAGAGAUGGUCAAGGAUACAUUUGGUAACAUUUAGAAGACAGAUAUAAAACAGUCACUAUAACAACUGGCAGGUCAUUGUGGUGAGAGAGUGAGAGUCAGUGACCAGCAGAUACAGAGGCAUCCAACAGACCUAGGAAGUCCUGUUCCUUCUGCACCCUGUGUCCAGUUCAUCUUGCCAAAUGCUGCCCAACAGCAGCCAGGCUGCCCCCAGUGUUUGGCACUAUACCCGCAGGCAUGGCCCCCACACAGAGGGAACAGCUUCCCCAGAAGCAGGUUUCCUCGGCCUUUUCCUGUGCUCCCGGCUCAAGGUCCCACUGCAUGGCCUGGCAUGCUCUGAUCCUCUCAUGUUCCUGCCACUCCAGCCUGUCCUGCCAGAGCUCCAGGAGCCCUGACUACUGACUGGCUCCCUCACCUUCUGACUUCUCCCCUUAAGACCUUGUCUUCCUCAGCUCCUCCCACAUAUGCAUAAAGUCUAAUUCUGAUCAUAAAUCUGUUACACUCACAAACCUGUAGUGGCUCUGUUUUAUUGAUGCAAACCUAAUGGAGAUUUUCUUACCAGAAGUGGUUUCAAGGAACAACCUUUAAGGAUGGAAUUCUUGAAGUGGAUCUCUGAUUUGUCUAGAUCUGUUGUGGGGAAAGACCCUGAAGGAGAGCACAGAGACCUGGAGGAGGUCAGGUGCUGCAGCCACAAGAGGAAGCCUUGAGCCGGGUGUGGCCGCCAUGAUAGUGAUUCCCCAUCAAUUUCCAAGACCGACCUGAGCCCAGCAAUCAAAGGGGUGGGCUUUCUUGUACUUAAUGCUAGAUCUCUGCCAGGUUACAGUAGAUGUAGCGUGUUCCUGCUAUUUGUUCGUCCACCCACUCAUCACUCACUCAGCCUGUCAUUCACUCAUCUAUUCUCUGUGAAAUGGGUCUCCCCACAUGCCAGGCACCGAUGUUGGUAAAUACAGCAGGCACAGUCUUAGCUCUCAUGGGCUUAAAAAUUGGGUGGAGAGGCCAGGCGUGGUGGCUAACGCCUUUAUCCCCACACUUUGGGAGGCCGAGAAGGGCAGAUCAUGAGGCCAGGAGAUCGAGACCAUCCUGGCCAACAUGGUGAAACCCCAUCUCUACUAAAAAUACAAACAAGAAUUAGCUGGGCGUGGUGGCACAUGUCUGUAAUCCCAGCUACUCAGGAGGCUGAGGCAGGAGAAUCACUUGAAUCAGAGUAUCAGAGGUUGCAGUGAGCAGAGAUCAUGCCACUGCACUCCAGCCUGGUGACAGAGUGAGACUGUGUCUUAAAAAAAAAAAAAAAAAAAAAAAAAAAAAAAAAAAAAAAAAAAAAAAAAAAAAAUG